CAGUCGCCACGGUAAUACAGAGGGUGCAAGCGUUAAUCGGAAUUACUGGGCGUAAAGCGCGCGUAGGUGGUUCGCCAAGUUGGAUGUGAAAUCCCCGGGCUCAACCUGGGAACUGCAUCCAAAACUGGCGAGCUAGAGUAUGGUAGAGGGUGGUGGAAUUUCCUGUGUAGCGGUGAAAUGCGUAGAUAUAGGAAGGAACAUCAGUGGCGAAGGCGACCACCUGGACUGAUACUGACACUGAGGUGCGAAAGCGUGGGGAGCAAACAGGAUUAGAUACCCCAGUAGUCCCUGUCUCUUAUAC
RNAcentral lists this ribosomal RNA (301 nucleotides) under uncultured bacterium. RNAcentral describes it as "partial 16S ribosomal RNA". It matches the Rfam family "Bacterial small subunit ribosomal RNA", at positions 509 to 807 of the family's 1533-position model. The record is from RNAcentral.